RNAcentral lists this ribosomal RNA (480 nucleotides) under uncultured bacterium. Its description in RNAcentral is "partial 16S ribosomal RNA". It matches the Rfam family "Bacterial small subunit ribosomal RNA", at positions 28 to 507 of the family's 1533-position model. The record is from RNAcentral.
GAUGAACGCUGGCGGCGUGCCUAACACAUGCAAGUCGAGCGAAGCACUUACUUUAGCUUUCUUCGGAAUGACGAAGUUUGUGACUGAGCGGCGGACGGGUGAGUAACGCGUGGGCAACCUGCCCUGUACAGGGGAUAACAGUUAGAAAUGACUGCUAAUACCGCAUAAGCCCACAGCUUCGCAUGAAGCAGUGGGAAAAACUCCGGUGGUACAGGAUGGGCCCGCGUCUGAUUAGCUAGUUGGUAAGGUAACGGCUUACCAAGGCGACGAUCAGUAGCCGACCUGAGAGGGUGACCGGCCACAUUGGGACUGAGACACGGCCCAAACUCCUACGGGAGGCAGCAGUGGGGAAUAUUGCACAAUGGGGGAAACCCUGAUGCAGCGACGCCGCGUGAGCGAUGAAGUAUUUCGGUAUGUAAAGCUCUAUCAGCAGGGAAGAAAGUGACGGUACCUGACUAAGAAGCCCCGGCUAACUACGUG